UACGUAGGUGGCAAGCGUUGUCCGGAUUUAUUGGGUUUAAAGGGUGCGUAGGCGGCUUAAUAAGUCAGUGGUGAAAGCCGAUCGCUUAACGAUCGAACUGCCAUUGAUACUGCUAGGCUUGAGUAUAGUUGAGGUAGGCGGAAUUGACAGUGUAGCGGUGAAAUGCAUAGAUAUUGUCAAGAACACCAAUUGCGAAGGCAGCUUACUAAAGUAUAACUGACGCUGAGGCACGAAAGUGCGGGGGAUCAAAACAGG
This 255-nucleotide ribosomal RNA is filed under the name uncultured bacterium. RNAcentral's name for it is "partial 16S ribosomal RNA". It matches the Rfam family "Bacterial small subunit ribosomal RNA", at positions 524 to 776 of the family's 1533-position model. The record is from RNAcentral.